RNAcentral lists this non-coding RNA (29 nucleotides) under Cricetulus griseus (Chinese hamster). Lineage: Eukaryota; Metazoa; Chordata; Mammalia; Rodentia; Cricetidae. The record is from RNAcentral.
GCCCAGAGAAAGUUUUCCUUGACGGUCGU